GAUGAAGAACGUAGCGAAAUGCGAUAAGUAGUGUGAAUUGCAGAAUUCAGUGAAUCAUCGAAUCUUUGAACGCACAUUGCGCCCCUUGGUAUUCCAUGGGGCAUGCCUGUUCGAGCGUCAUUAAAUAACCCUCAAGCAUAGCUUGGUGUUGGGCUUUUUUACGUCCUUGACUGGGAUGGGCCUAAAAAUUAGUGGCGAUGGCUUUUUUACUUUCAAGCGUAGUAAAUCUCGUCUUGCUAAAGAGGAAAAAGAUUUUUUUUCUGCCAAAAAUUUUAACAUUUAAAGUUGACCUCGGAUCAGGUAGGAUUACCCGCUGAACUUAAGCAUAUCAAUAAGCGGAGGA
This 343-nucleotide unclassified non-coding RNA is filed under the name soil metagenome. RNAcentral's name for it is "partial contains 5.8S ribosomal RNA, internal transcribed spacer 2, and large subunit ribosomal RNA". The stretch from base 1 to 120 matches the Rfam family "5.8S ribosomal RNA", at positions 35 to 154 of the family's 154-position model. The record is from RNAcentral.